GACGAACGCUGGCGGCGUGCUUAACACAUGCAAGUCGAACGGAAAGGCCCUGCUUUUGUGGGGUGCUCGAGUGGCGAACGGGUGAGUAACACGUGAGUAUCCUGCCCUUGACUUUGGGAUAACUUCAGGAAACUGGGGCUAAUACCGGAUAGGAGCUCCUGCUGCAUGGUGGGGGUUGGAAAGUUUCGGCGGUUGGGGAUGGACUCGCGGCUUAUCAGCUUGUUGGUGGGGUAGUGGCUUCCCAAGGGUUUGACGGGUAGCCGGCCUGAGAGGGUGACCGGCCACAAUGGGACUGAGAUACGGACCAGACGCCUACGGGAGGCAGCAGUGGGGAAUAUUGCACAAUGGGCGGAAGCCUGAUGCAGCAACGUCGCGUGCGGGAUGACGGCCUUCGGGUUGUAAACCGCUUUCGCCUGUGACGAAGCGUGAGUGACGGUAAUGGGUAAAGAAGCACCGGCUAACUACGUG
This 468-nucleotide ribosomal RNA is filed under the name uncultured bacterium. Its description in RNAcentral is "partial 16S ribosomal RNA". It matches the Rfam family "Bacterial small subunit ribosomal RNA", at positions 28 to 507 of the family's 1533-position model. The record is from RNAcentral.